Molecule: ribosomal RNA, 442 nt
Filed under: uncultured bacterium
Lineage: Bacteria
Description: partial 16S ribosomal RNA
Rfam family: Bacterial small subunit ribosomal RNA
Source: RNAcentral
CCUACGGGUGGCAGCAGUGGGGGAUAUUGCACAAUGGGGGAAACCCUGACGCAGCGACGCCGCGUGGAGGAAGAAGUCUUUCGGGUUGUAAAGUUCUAUCAGGAGGGAAGAGGAAAUGACGGUACCUCUGUAAGAAGCCACGGCUAACUACGUGCCAGCAGCCGCGGUAAUACGUAGGGGGCAAGCGUUAUCCGGAUUUACUGGGUGUAAAGGGCGUGUAGCCGGGCUGACAAGUCAGUUGUGAAAGCCCGUGGCUCAACCCCGGCACUGCAUUGGAAACUGUCGGUCUGGAGUACCGGAGAGGCAGGCGGAAUUCCUAGUGUAGCGGUGAAAUGCGUAGAUAUUAGGAGGAACACCAGUGGCGAAGGCGGCCUGCUGGACGACAACUGACGGUGAGGCGCGAAAGCGUGGGGAGCAAACAGGAUUAGAUACCCCUGUAGUC